This 216-nucleotide unclassified non-coding RNA is filed under the name Hevea brasiliensis (rubber tree). Lineage: Eukaryota; Viridiplantae; Streptophyta; Magnoliopsida; Malpighiales; Euphorbiaceae. The record is from RNAcentral.
AAGAUUGAGAAUUAUCCAUCGAGAUUUAAAAACCAGCAAUGUAUUACUAGAUGCUGAUAUGAAUCCUAAAAUUUCUGAUUUUGGCAUGGCAAGAAUAUUCAGAGGAGAUGAAGUACAAGACAAAACCAACCGAGUUGUAGGAACAUACGGCUAUAUGGCACCAGAGUAUGUGAUAUUUGGAAAAUUUUCAACAAAGUCUGAUGUCUUCAGUUUCGG